This 497-nucleotide ribosomal RNA is filed under the name uncultured bacterium. RNAcentral describes it as "partial 16S ribosomal RNA". It matches the Rfam family "Bacterial small subunit ribosomal RNA", at positions 28 to 507 of the family's 1533-position model. The record is from RNAcentral.
GAUGAACGCUGGCGGCGUGCCUAAUACAUGCAAGUCGAGCGAACGGACGAGAAGCUUGCUUCUCUGAUGUUAGCGGCGGACGGGUGAGUAACACGUGGAUAACCUACCUAUAAGACUGGGAUAACUUCGGGAAACCGGAGCUAAUACCGGAUAAUAUUUUGAACCGCAUGGUUCAAAAGUGAAAGACGGUCUUGCUGUCACUUAUAGCUGGAUCCGCGCUGCAUUAGCUAGUUGGUAAGGUAACGGCUUACCAAGGCGACGAUGCAUAGCCGACCUGAGAGGGUGAUCGGCCACACUGGAACUGAGACACGGUCCAGACUCCUACGGGAGGCAGCAGUAGGGAAUCUUCCGCAAUGGGCGAAAGCCUGACGGAGCAACGCCGCGUGAGUGAUGAAGGUCUUCGGAUCGUAAAACUCUGUUAUUAGGGAAGAACAUAUGUGUAAGUAACUGUGCACAUCUUGACGGUACCUAAUCAGAAAGCCACGGCUAACUACGUG